This 253-nucleotide ribosomal RNA is filed under the name uncultured bacterium. Its description in RNAcentral is "partial 16S ribosomal RNA". It matches the Rfam family "Bacterial small subunit ribosomal RNA", at positions 524 to 776 of the family's 1533-position model. The record is from RNAcentral.
UACAGAGGUCCCAAGCGUUGUUCGGAUUCAUUGGGCGUAAAGGGUGCGUAGGCGGCGCGGUAAGUCGGGUGUGAAAUCUCGGGGCUUAACUCCGAAACUGCAUUCGAUACUGCCGUGCUUGAGGACUGGAGAGGAGACUGGAAUUUACGGUGUAGCGGUGAAAUGCGCAGAUAUCAGGAGGAACACCGGUGGCGAAGGCGGGUCUCUGGGCAGUAACUGACGCUGAGGAGCGAAAGCGUGGGGAGCGAACAGG